Molecule: long non-coding RNA, 262 nt
Filed under: Prunus persica (peach)
Lineage: Eukaryota; Viridiplantae; Streptophyta; Magnoliopsida; Rosales; Rosaceae
Description: long non-coding RNA (PPER_LNC000027)
Source: RNAcentral
CCAAUCCUUAUGCGUACUCACCUGAAGCCGCCCCUCCACUUGCCGGAUCAUACCCUGGAGCUCCCAUGAACUAUCCUGCAUACGGGGGUUAUGGCAAUGGUAUGGUACCAGCUUAUCAGCAGGCUUACUACCGAUAGAUAAUGACAGACUCUUGUGAAGAUGGUAACCACUGAUAUGAUGACUCAUCCCCAAAUCUCAUCCUCUUUUUAUAAUGGCUUGUUUGUAAUCACUAACCGUUUAAUGGUAGCGAUGUCUGUGUGUG